CUUUUUUUUUUUUUUUUUUUUUUUUUUUUUUGUAUUUUUAGUAGAGAGUAGGUUUCACCAUGUUGUCCAGGCUGGUCUCAAACUCCUGACCUCAGGUGAUCCACCUGCCUUGGCCUCCCAAAGUGCUAGGAUUACAGGCAUGAGCCACCACGCCUGGCCACUUUUUGACUAUUAUGAAUAAUGCUGCUAUGAACAUUGAUGUAAAAGUUUUUGUGUAGACAUAAGAUUUUUUAUUCACUUGCCCCACAGUUUUACCAACAUCAUUGCCUGUCCCACCACAACCACCACUAACACCUCCACCGCCAUCACCUCCACCAUCACUAUCCCUACUCCUACUAACACCACCACUGCCUCAAUUAUCACCACCUUACCUUUUCCACUGGCUCUACCACCUCCACACCAUCUUAACCAGCAUGCCCAUUACCUCCACCUUUAUUACCACCACCAUUAUAAUCACCAUCAUCACCUCCAUCACCACCACCGCUCCCACUGCCACCAUCACCACCACCACCUGACCAUCCAUCUCCUCUGCCAACAUCAUCAUCAUCACUUCCAUCACCUCUGCCACCUCCUCCACCUCUCUCUAUGUCCACAUAGUAGCAAUGCAGAUACAUUCAUCCUGGUUGCCUUGGUUGGCUGUCAGAUAAUUUUAUCCAUAAAAGCAUCUCUGGAGGUUUGGUGAGAGCAAUUAAGGAGCAAGAACAGUGAUGACAGUAAAUAUGAGUAGUUCUUUAACCUUUUCACAAGCCUGAGAACAGGCUCUAUAAGUAGCCAGUGGCUUUUGGAAGUUAUUCUAAGGCACAAUAGUAACAACAAACUUAUUCCUUAAAAUUAAGGUAGUAGAAAGGAUGCUAGAAGAUGGGAAAAGUGAAUAAAUUUACUGCAUACGUCAAAGCUGCCAAGGGGUCAAAUAUGGGCCACAUUUGAAAAUUCUGUUCCAAACUCCAUCUGUUCUUAGCCAGAUGAGUGAGUGUGUUUCCACAUCAUUUGAGUAAUUAAAACCUCUCACUGGAUACAUUAAAAGUAAGAUACAGGCAUUUUGCUUUAAAGCCUGUCACAUUAUUUUUUCUGAAGCAUAUUUCUUUUGAUGAUUGAGGUUAUCCAGCCACCACUUGUAUGCAGUCAUCUCCGUUAGGCUAAAGGGAGACCUAUGCCUCAGGGAUGAAUCAGCUCUGGGUAAUGCGCCAACUCAGAAAGUACAUUAGAAAUGAAAUGAUUAGGGCAAUGUGGAACACUGUGAAAGCUCAAUCUUCUACCUCCCUCCUACUUGGCACUGGCAGAGGACCCUUCUACAAAAGACCAGAAGGUGAAGGGUGGCCCCAGAUCCCAGUAACAGAGUCCUUUUCUCUUGUCGGACUCUCAUUUCUAUUUCUGUUACCCUUCUUCCACAUCCUCCUCCAGCCUCUGCUUUCACCAACUUUCCCCAAUCUCUGUGUCACUAAUUCAUUAAUAAACUGAUGAUUGCAUUGAAAAAGAAAAGAAAA
Molecule: long non-coding RNA, 1484 nt
Filed under: Homo sapiens (human)
Lineage: Eukaryota; Metazoa; Chordata; Mammalia; Primates; Hominidae
Description: novel transcript
Source: RNAcentral